ACAAUUUAUAAUUGGAUGAAAUCACGCGGGUGGUAAUAGCAAUAAGGGCUCGUGCUGGAGCUCACUGCUUCCCCCUCAUGCAGGACUGUCCUCGUCUUUCCUCUUGUCCAGUUCCCUCCCUAGCCUCUCUAGGGGCUGUGCCCACCAGCCUGCUAGCACCUGGAGCUGCAGCACUGACCAGACCCUGGUCAGUGAGGACUGAUGUUACACAGGCUUGCUGGCCCUCAGACCUCCUUUCUCCUGGGGACGCUAAGAACCCCUGAUUUAGCCUCUCCACCCUGCAUCCCCUGGCUGAACACUCCCUUCCUCCACAUAGGUCCUGCCAGCUGUGAGCCCGUGGGCAGCCACCCCCAGCUUGGGUGCUGGGCUUAUUAAUCAUGCAACCUAAAUGUCCUUGUUUUCAUUUGUAACAGUCCCAGACAAUGAGCAUUUCUCAAAUCAGCCACCUUCGGCCCUACAAAGAAAAGUGCCCAGAUGCAGCCGAGCCCAUCUGGAUCUGAUUUCAAACCAGAGCCUACACUCUCAGAUGUGUAAUGAAAGCCCUUUUCCAAAGAGGGGCUCCUGCAGGGGGAUGUGGACACCAGGGCACUGGCCUUCUACAAGACACCUCUAAUGAGAGCUAUGUGGGGAGGGCAUGGUUUUGUUUCUCGGAUUCCUGGGAACAGCCUGCCCCACCCCCAGGUCUCUGCAAACUGGGAGGGCUCAGGGGGUGGGGAGGAUCUACCCUGCCUAAGAGAUGGGGUGGCUGCAGAAAAAAGCUAGGGACAUGGAGACCCAACUUCCUGUGGCCCUGAUGAUCCUAUUUCCCACAGUUGGAAAAGCAGUGCUUGUUCUGAAGGCCCAGGCUAUGGUGGCUCAGUUGGAGCCUGUGAAUGACAUUUAUCAGGAAGAGCAGGAGCUGAGGGGAACUGAGCCAAUGCUGGGCUGGGCCAGUGGCCCUGCAGGGCUGGCAGCUUCAAAACUUCAUCUUUUUCUUCCCAGCCCUUCCAUUUUCAGGGAGAAAAGGAAACCAGGUAUCUGCAAGGAAGGGCCCCUCAUAUGAGCUGCUCAGGUAUCUGGAUGUGAGGAGACAGGAGAUGGGAGGCAAUGAUCUAAGCCCUGUCCCAGGCCUGCAGGAAAGUGGCAUUUAAGAAAACAGGCUCUGGGGUUGGGAUGUUGCUCGAUGGUCAAGUACUUGCCUAGGAUGUGUGAGGGCCUGGGUUCCAUCUCCAGCCCAGGAAGCCCUGACAGUCCUCUGUCCAUGUGGGCCUCUGUUUUGUUGGGCAUGAUCAUUUGUAUUGUCUUUGACAGGUGAGGAGGCAGAGACUGGGGGAGAAGAGGCUGCCUCUUUGGACAGAUGAGACCAGAGGUGAAGCAGGAAUAACCCCGCUCCUGCCUCCCAGCAAGAAAACCUCUGCAAACGGGAGCAGCCAUGCGGGACUUAGCCCCUGCCCCACAAGGCAUCUUCCUGAAGCAGGAUGUGUGGGGCCUGACAGCUCCUCGGUGAACAUCUGAACUCCUCAGUGGGGUAAUGGACUCCCUCCUUCCCCCGGAGACACAGCCUGAGUGGCAGGAAUACCGAUUCUUUGGAGAGUGGCUCCCUCUCAGCUCUGUCACGCAAGAAUGCUCUCUGCACCGAGCCUAUUCUGCCAAGUGACUUAAAGGGAUUUAAAAAAAAAAAAAAACAGAAGAAGAAAAAAAAUCUUGGUAAAGAAAAAGGGGGUUAAAAGGCACACAGACGCCUUUCAGAGGAGGUGGCGGCCUGCAGACAAAGGGUGAAAGUUGAAAGAGGGCCGAGGAAGUGGCAAGCAGGGAGAGGCCACCCCCCUGGGGCGGUGUGGGGCAUGCCCCAGGAGCAGGGGGCCAGAACACCCUCACGCCCCACUCCCAAGCCCCCGGGGCCGCACAGGGUGUCCCUGUGCACCCAGAGCAUAGGCCCCUCGCUUCAGGCGGUCUAGGGAGCCAAGGAUGCUACCUGGGAUCUGCAGCCUCAUCUGAAUGGUUGAGUCCAGAAGACAGAAGCACAGGAUCCCCUCCCCAAGCCUCCAGUGUCCCCCACACUGCCAGUGUACCCAGGUCUGCACUCUGCUCUCUCAGCCCUCGGCCUGUUAGGGCCGAAGGGCCAGGAAUGUGAGCGUGGCCUGGGCCCACUGUGUCACUCAACAUCACCAAGGGCCUUGGGAGCAGCCACUCCAGUGGGACUCUGCAGCCCAAGGGCUGUGGCAGCAAGGAGGUGUUGAGGCUCUACAUCGGGUGGGGUCAGGCUCCCCCAACUGUCCACCAUGGUGGUGGCACACCCCACUGCCGCUGCUACCACCACGCCCACCACGACUGUCACAGCCACUGUCGUGAUGACCACGGCCACCAUGGACCUGCGGGACUGGCUGUUCCUCUGCUAUGGGCUCAUCGCCUUCCUGACAGAAGUCAUUGACAGCACCACAUGCCCCUCAGUGUGCCGCUGCGACAACGGCUUCAUCUACUGCAAUGACCGGGGGCUCACCUCCAUCCCCACAGACAUCCCCGACGAUGCCACCACCCUCUACCUGCAGAACAAUCAGAUCAACAAUGCUGGCAUCCCCCAGGACCUCAAGACCAAGGUCAAUGUGCAGGUCAUCUACCUGUAUGAGAAUGACCUGGACGAGUUCCCCAUCAACCUGCCACGUUCCCUGCGGGAGCUGCACCUUCAGGACAACAAUGUGCGCACCAUCGCCAGGGACUCGCUGGCCCGAAUCCCACUGCUGGAGAAGCUGCACUUGGAUGACAACUCUGUGUCCACCGUGAGCAUCGAGGAGGACGCCUUCGCUGACAGUAAACAGCUCAAGCUGCUCUUCCUGAGCCGCAACCACUUGAGCAGCAUCCCCCCAGGGCUGCCACACACGCUGGAGGAGCUGCGGCUGGACGACAACCGCAUCUCCACCAUCCCACUGCAUGCCUUCAAGGGCCUGCACAGCCUGCGGCGCCUGGUGCUGGAUGGCAAUCUGCUGGCCAACCAGCGCAUCGCCGACGACACCUUCAGCCGCCUGCAGAAUCUCACAGAGCUCUCGCUGGUUCGCAACUCUCUGGCUGCCCCACCCCUCAACCUGCCCAGUGCUCACCUGCAGAAGCUGUACCUGCAAGACAACGUCAUCAGCCACAUCCCCUACAACACGCUGGCCAAGAUGCGUGAGCUGGAGCGGCUGGACCUGUCCAACAACAACCUCACCACACUGCCCCGUGGCCUGUUUGAUGACCUGGGCAACCUGGCACAGCUGCUGCUCAGGAACAACCCCUGGUUCUGCGGCUGCAACCUCAUGUGGCUGCGGGACUGGGUGAAGGCACGGGCGGCCGUGGUCAACGUGCGGGGCCUUAUGUGCCAGGGCCCUGAGAAGGUCCGGGGCAUGGCCAUCAAGGACAUCACCAGUGAGAUGGAUGAGUGCUUUGAGACAGGGUCGCAGGGUGGUGCAGCCAAUGCGGCUGCCAAGACCACAGCCAGCAACCAUGCUGCAGCCACCACGCCCCAGGGCUCACUGUUCACCCUCAAGGCCAAGAGACCUGGGCUGCGCCUCCCUGACUCCAACAUUGACUACCCCAUGGCCACAGGCGAUGGCGCCAAGACCCUGGUCAUCCAGGUGAAGCCCCUGACAGCAGACUCCAUCCGCAUCACAUGGAAGGCAACACUCCCUGCCUCCUCCUUCCGGCUCAGCUGGCUACGCCUGGGCCACAGCCCUGCAGUGGGCUCCAUCACAGAGACCCUGGUGCAGGGGGACAAGACAGAGUACUUGCUCACGGCCCUGGAACCCAAGUCCACCUACAUAAUCUGCAUGGUUACCAUGGAGACUGGCAACACCUAUGUGGCCGAUGAGACACCUGUGUGUGCCAAGGCAGAGACAGCUGAUAGCUAUGGCCCUACCACCACACUCAACCAGGAGCAGAACGCCGGCCCCAUGGUGGGGCUGCCCCUGGCAGGCAUCAUCAGUGGUGCCGUGGCUCUCGUCUUCCUCUUCCUGGUCCUGGGGGCCAUCUGCUGGUAUGUGCACAGGGCUGGUGAGCUGCUGACCCAGGAGAGGGCCUACAACCGGGGCAGCAGGAAAAAGGACGACUAUAUGGAGUCGGGGACCAAGAAGGAUAACUCUAUCCUGGAGAUCCAUGGCCCUGGGCUGCAGAUGCUGCCCAUCAACCCAUACCACGCCAAAGAGGAGUACGUGGUCCACACCAUCUUCCCCUCCAAUGGCAGCAGUCUCUGCAAGGGCACACACACCAUCGGCUACGGCACCACACGAGGCUAUCGGGAUGGGGGCAUCCCUGACAUCGACUACUCCUACACAUGAUGCCGGCCCACCCAACCCCAGCCCCUGGCCGCCAUCCCGAGUGGUUCCUGGCUCUGCCCAGCCCACUAUGAUCCCAGAGAGCAAGGAAGAGAAACUAAUUCUGCAGUGACUCUCCCAGCAGAAAGCAAAGUUUGAGAAAGGGUGAUGAUUUGCUAGAACACACCAGUGGGGGGGGGGCUUUUUAAAUGAAUAGAAGGCAGAAGGGGAAGGGGAAUCCAAUAUUAUUGGAGACAUAAUUUAUUCCAAAUUAUGCCAAUUGGGGAGGGAAGAACAAAAAUAAUACUGAAGGAAGGGUUGGGUUGGGGAUUUUUUUUCCUGAACUGGAAAGAUACUACCUGUACAACGUCUGUGUACAACGCGCACUCUGUUCAGGGCUGUCACAAAAGAACCGUCAGAAGCCAAGAGAAGCCACCGACACGCAGGCCCCCCACCCAGCAUCCUGCUGCCCAGCUGCUCACAGGCAAUGAUUCGAUGGAAGGUUUUCAGGCACCUCACAAAGGAGAGAGGCAAAGAAAAGAUCUUUUGCUAUGGAGAUAUUGUCCUGAAAUCUCUUCCCUGGCUCUUUCCAUGCCAUUCCCCUGACAGAUUUGCAGAAGAGAGAGUCUUUCACUGCAUUCUUGGAACAAUUAAUGUAGUCAAUUAAAAAGAAAAAAAAAUUGAACUUUUUUCUUCCUAUGCUGAGUGCUCUCCAGUUCCAUGCACCAUCCUCUGUAGAAGCCCUGAUGGAAGCCGUAGCUUUCCCUGCCACGUGGAGGUGAAUCUGUCUGCCUGUCUGUCUCUAAGUCCUGUCUCUCAGUGCAGAUGGCUAGAUAGAGACAGGUACACCAUCCUUACAGCACUUCUUGGGUCAGUUCUUACCAUUUCCUGAGACAAUAGAAUUGCAAAAAAAUGUUGCUUUCUUCUAGAAAUCAUUGAAUGCAAUCACCUCAAUUGGGUUUACUCGUGCUUCCUCCUGGAUAUGUAAUUAGUGCAGGGACUUUUUUUUAUAUACAUAUAUAUGUAUCAGCUGAUUAGACCUUUUGGUUUCCAUGGCUGCUCAAACAAAGCCCAGAAAAAGAAAAUUUUCAGAAAAUCCCUGAGAGACAUCAGCCCUCACACACACACCUGUGUAGAAAACAGCUGCGCCUGCUCCUGAGAGGAGAGACCAGAUCUCUUUCUAAAAAUGCCAGCUUCCAAAAGGGUUCUGACUGGGGCCCUCAGAAGAGCUAAAAUUUUAUUUCCUCCCUCUGGAAUCAAUGUCGCUAUCAUUUAUCAACUGACAGUGCAGUGUGGCGAGCCAUGAGAUUAAAACGAUGAUGAAAUAAUGACAACAGAUCUGGAGAGGAGGAAAGCGUGGUGCCCAGGGUUCCGAUGGCUGCUGCAUCCUGUACUCGGGGAGCUGGGGUCACCAUCUGUCAAUGUGUCUCUUGCCCCACACCAGGAAAAGACGACAUCAAAGCAGAGGCGCUGCUCCGAGGGCAAGAGGAUGAGAAGGUCGGCUCCUGACAGUGGUGUUUUUAAAAAGCCUCUGCUACUUGGACCAAAGCAAAGGCAAGAAGAAGAGGCUGGGCAGUGAUCACAGGGCUGCCCACGACAUGCCCGAGCACUGUCUGCCUAUUGGACAUUCAAAGAGCCAACUGGCCCUUCAGCGAAGAGGUGGAUUGAAAGCAAUGUUCCUGCUGCUGCUUGCUGCUCGGGAGAAGUGGAGAGAGGUGCAGGCUCCCACUGCAGGCCAAGAAUCAUCACCACCAAAGGGGACUCCUGUCCUCCAGCCCCAGGACAUGCCCAGGGGGCAUGGACACUGUUCAUUCCAAACGACCUUUUCCCCUUCUCCUGCCCGGAUCAUUUUCCCACACAAUGAGGUCCAGAGAGAAACUUUCCCAAGGCUUAAUUUCAGGUCUGUAUCAACGCCGCCCGACCCCCACCCCCACCCUAACCGCAGCACCAUCCCUCACAGCUCGGAAAGGAAGAGGGGACCCCAUAUACCAGGGAGAUCUGGGUGAAGGACACAAGGUGGGGGGCGUUGGUCGGGGGACAGAAGUCCCAGCCCUCUGCUGUUUCUGAAGUGAGGUACUCUCCUUUGAGGGGGCCACUCUGGCCUACUUCAGGUUCCAGGAAAGUCGGCCCAGCUUUCCCUCUGCCUCAAGGCAUCUUGCCUGCAUCCACAACACAGUACUGCCAGCAUGCUCUGACUCCUAGCUCACGGGGUCCCCUUUCUCAUUUCCUGCCCCAGUGAGGGUCAAGCCAUCCCUUUGGUGGCUAGCAAGGAAUUUAGGGGCAUCUGGUGGCCUGGACCCUGACAGUGGCUUGAGUAGCACAUUUUCCGCCCCUAUCACACAGCAGGCCCAGGCCCACAAGGGCCCUGCCAAUGCCUGGGAACAGUGCCCAGGCUAAGGACCUGAUUGGUCCCCUGCAUGGGCUUCUUGCACUAACAGGGCUUAGCCCAACUUAUUUAGGGCUGCAGAGCCCAGGGCCUGCCCUUUCCUCAUGGGCACUAAAUUCUGGGGAAGGUGAGUACUCUGCCAGCCAAGGAGACACAGGGACAUGGGCCCCUCUGGAAGCCCUUCUUGUCUUUUCUGCCCCUCAGCACUCCGACAUUUCCUAGUGUCCUUCCUGAGAGCAAGCCUCCAAAAUCUGCUUCAAGGUGGCCCCCAAGCCAGGCCCCCUCUGAAACCUCAUCCCCUCCUGGUCCAGCUCCUCCAAGCUGGCCUCUUAACACAAGAUGGAGGAAGUUUGGGGCACCCAGCCUCCCCCGCCUCUUAGAAGUGUGCAGAGCCACCAGGCCAGCAACAAUACCCCCAGGCUCUAUUAAAACCUCCCUCUGUGUGUGAGGAUGCUCCCACUCAAAAGUCCUCUACCAACCUGACCCUCACGGGCUCUAACCAGCCAGAACCUCCCUCUGCAGGCACGGAUCAACCUGAGUGUGAUGAGUGUACUUUGUGGCAUUUGAGGCAGGUUUAAAGUUUUAAAAAAGAAAAAAAAAGGCCCAUGACACCUCUUUGGUUAAGUGGUUUACCCUUCGUGGUAAUUAGAUGUAGCGAUUGGAUUGGAAUCUCUUUUCUAUUACAUGGCAAUUUUCCUUUAAAUUUCCUCUAAAAAAAAAAAGGAAAGAAAGAAAAGGCAAAGAAGGAGAGAGAAGGCAGCAGGGCUGUGUGUCAUUUGCAUUUUGAGAAUGAGGCCUCUUAUAAGCUCAGCUCAGGCGUGGGGCCCAACGUAUGGAAUGCUUAAGAGAUUACUAAGAAUAAAAUCUAUUAAUUAGUCAUACUCAAUUCCACAGACAUGAUGUGCAUCAAAAGCUCCUUUUCUUCCCUUUUCUGCUUUCCCUUUCCCGAAGGAAGCCUCCAUCUUCACGAAAUGGGCUCCAUUUCCUGGCCUGCCUCCACAUUAACAUGUUACCCACCCCCCACCCCCAGGGCUGGGUGCCGGGUUUGAGGGCAGGAGCCGGGGCAGUGCUCCUUCCCUGCUCUGGCUGAUGCUGGAAGGGGAGGUGGCAGCCCCCGGGGAAGAUGGCAGUGGCUGGGAGAGGCCAGCCUUCCUUCAUAGAAGCCCCUGUCUACUCAGAGGGCUCCUCCUCCCUCUGCAGGCACCAUCUUUCCAACAAGGGUGAGAGGGAGUCAGGGAGUGUGUGUGGCUUUCUGGCAAAUACAGGCUUCUGUUUCCCCUUCUGUAAAGCAGGAGUGCCUGGGGAGGCUCUAGUUUCACUCUUUAAGAAAGCUGGGUGCUUCAGAGACCGAGGGGGCCUCCCCUCCCCUGAUUCUGGAGGGUUCCAGCUGGCCCAUAGCAGGUGGAGGAAUCCUUGCAGGGCUGAGGGGCACUGAGCCUAGGCCAGCCUCUGCCUGAGCUUCCUCCACCACUGGCCAGGAAGGAAGGAGCAAAAGUCUGAGGUACACUCAGGACAGCAUCCCACCCCAGCCCCCAACGAGUGGCAGCUCAAGUCCCAAAGCCAACCCACUCCAGAAAUCUGCUUCCUGUCUAGCAUGCCAGGGAGGAGAACAGGGCUUCUGAGCCUCUCGCUUAUGAAAAAUACAACAAGAAAAAUUGGAUGCAGCAGACAGGGAGUGAUGGGGCUGUAAGGAAACCAGGGAGAGCUGGGGCAGGAAGGUGGGGCUCAGGCACGGUGCAGUGGCCUGUGCCCCCAAGGGCCAGACUAUGCUGUCAAGAGCCAGACGAAGGCCAUGGCCAGGGCGACCUAUAGGAGCCCCAUGCACCAUGUCCUCUGUUCAUACUGAAAUCAGUGCAGGUGAAGGUAGCUGAAGCUGCGCGCACUGGAUGGGCGCCAGGUUGAGCGCUAACAAGCAAUUCACAGGCCUUCCAGAAUGCAGAAAGAGAAGGCAUUUUUUUUCUUAAGGAGGGAUAAAAAGGCUCAAAAAUGCAAAUCAUUACCGUUUACAACCAAGUAAGUCUGCUAAAUUGAUUAGGAGCGAUUAAACUCCUCAGAGGUGAAGGGAAGGGGGUUUCUUGUGGUCUAUAAACCUGCCCCAAGUGGCCGUCCACACAGCAGGGGUUUUCCAGGCCUUGCUGGGAUGGGUCGCCUGUCCCGCUCCUCCCCCUGGGGAACAGGGGUCUCUGAAGGCUGACAUCAGGUGGGCCAGGGCACUGGGGCUGAGCCCUGCUGGGGGAGGGGAGAGGAGCAGUCUGGCUCCAGCCAGGGGCCUCGUGCUCAGGCCUCUGGGCCAGGCAGGGCUGCUGUGGCCCACAUGGGUAACAAGGCACUGUCCCAGGCUCCAGGAAGAGACUCUGGCCCUGCCCUCCAGAUUCCAUCUGCCUUCAGGGUUGACAAGCCACACCUGGUUCACUACCAUCACCUACGAACCUAUGGCACAUGUGGCACAGCCGGCUCUUUGUUAUCACUGAAAGCUCUAAAAGUUCCUCCAUCACUGAGAGAGUAUGAUACCUGUUGUGGGAUCUGCUCCCUGUGCCAGGGAAAAGGUUAGCUCAAGUGUGAAGAGAAAGUGAAGACAGGAAAGAGAAACCCUGGCCCAUCAAAGGAAGCAAAGCAGCGAGCCCCCCCAUCACUGGGAGCAUUUGAGCACUAGAUGGGGAUAUGAAAGAUACUUUCCUGCCUAAGCCAAGGUUUGUAUGGCUCUGACUAAAAGAUCCUGGUUCUCGCCUUUGGCUUCUCACCGCCCCCCUCCUGCCCCGCUUCCCCAGGAGAGGUGGUAGAGCCACACACUACCCCUUCUCCAGGGUGAGCUCAGGGAGUGGGGGGGGCUGACAGUCCUGCACCUCCACACCCCAGGUUGCCUUCGGCCUGUUCCCUUGAGCCUGGUCUGGCCACGGCUGCAACUAAACAUGCAGGACAGCACCGAUCCGUCCAUCAUGGCCAGCUGACAGUGCCUGGGGCACUGUUCACUCUGCUGUUUUCAAGCAUUUACCAAUUCUUUUGAAAUGUUCCACGAAGUUGCCUGAAAUAUCUACACUGGCUUCUUUUUAAAAACUGACAAAAAGAUUACUUUUGCUCCCGCCCUGUCUCUGCUGUCCCUCCCUUGGCUUUUUUUUUUUUUUUUUUUGGUACCAGGGAUCAAAAUUGGGACUUUGCGCUUGGAAAGCAGGCAGUGGGACCACUGAGCUAAAUUCCUGGCUCCCUUGGCUUUUUAUAUGCUGUUUCUCUGCUUUGGAAAAUCCUACUGUCUUCAUCCUAUGUGGGAAGGCAGUGUGCCCAGAGAUCCUGGUGCCACAGAGGCACAGUCCUGCCACUGCCCCUUUCCCCUGGAGAUAGCACACCCUGGGCUCUGUGAGGCCAUAUCGCUCCUCUCUUCCCCUUGUCACUGAAGUACCCAGCUUGUGCCAGGAGGAGGCACUGGGGGCAUUGUGUGCCCAGUGCCUAGGCUGACCCUUUACUUUCUAAUAAGGCCAGCCCCCAAGGCACUGAAGCCAUGUGGCAGUCAGUGUGGCCUAGCCCUGGCCCUGGCCAUCCAUCCCAGAGAGUCCUUACAGGAAGGUCUUUGCCACUACCAGCCCCAUAUCUCUUUUAUGGUCGUCAAGGGAUGGUCGCUCAGGAGAGAUACCAGGUCCCCACACUCAGUGGACCCCACGAAAUCAGCACCUGCCUCGCCAGGAUCACUGAGGUCCAGCACAACACCUGGCGCAUGGGGGUGCAGAGUCCUUUCUUCCCCAGUGAAAUGAGCCACCACCUCCUCUUCAUCCUCCUCAUCCUCACCACCUGCCUUUUGCCCACUGAGCUCCCUGCAAGUGGCCUGAGUGUUGGCAACCAGCAGCUUCUCGUCCUACACCCACCAUGCAGGCGGCCUGACACAGAGGGGGCUGUCUGGGCACCUUGCCCUUUUGGAAGCAUCCAGCUCCACUUACACCCACUGUGAGCCUGAUGGGGAGGAACUGAUUGGGUGAGACCCCACAGCUGGCCUCAGCUCAAAUGUGUGCCUCAGUUUUCCCUCUCCAAGUCUUGCCUCCGGUGAGUGCGGGGAGCCAGAGAACUGGAAGACAGCCCCAGAGGCCGUCAGGAAGGAGGAUCCCAAGUGACACCCGCCUUGCCUGACAUUCUACCGAGUCCACACACCGAGCCACCUGCAGGAACUGAUCAGGCUCCCUCCUCAAGAGAAACAAACACACUGUGAAAUGACAAUCAAUGUAGCAGUGUUCCAGGCCACCCCUCCGGUGGCAGUCGGAGAGCCAAAGGUUCUGGGCACAAAGGGGAAAGACACACACAUCUGUGAGAGUAGCCUUAGAUUCCCCCCAACUCAGCACCACCACCUGCCAGUGGCCUCAGCUGAGAAGCCCACCCUGGUGUCCCGGGCAGAGUUGGGGGAUGAGGGCCCUGUGUCUUCCAACUCACAGAGGGAGGCAGCCAUGGGGAGGAAGCCACAGGCCUGGCGUUGGGGCCUUAUCUGUCACCUGAGAGGGAGAAGCCAGGAGACAUCAGGAGUGAAGGCUAUGGCAGGGGCUGGGCAGGCCAGCCAGGGGACAGUUUGCUGUGUGAGUCUGCUGGCUGGGGCCACCAGACAGGUGUGAACAGAGAGCCCAAUGGUGAACACCCCGUAGGAGAACCCAGCUCCAAAAAGCGCUGCAGAGUGAAUGCUCCACCAGCCACCAACCAGAGCUCCCUCCCGGAUGUUCAAACACAAUUUGGAGUCAUUUGUCUCAUGAAGCAUCCUGGGGUGCAUGCUCAGUGUGACUCCCUUCCCAGCAACCUGUGAGGGGGAGGAAGAGGCAGGCCGGCUUCUUGGCCAGACUGUAGGAAUGGGGUAGUUCUGCUGCAGCAGAUGGGAUGCCAGGUCAGCUGAUGGCACCAGGGCAUGGGGGACAGGCCUGGGUUUCCAAGCCUGUGGCCAAGGUGCCUUCUGCUUUCUGAAGGGCCCCUGUCCCAGCAACCCCAGCUCCCCAACCCUCCUGGCUGACCCUGCCUACAGAAUCAGGCCCAUGGGGCCAUGUGGCUGUAAGCUCCUUGUCUUUUUUCUUUUUCUCUGAAGGGCAAAGCAAUCUUGCGGGGCUGAGUGAUGGACCUCCCCCACUGCUCCUGCUGCCAUCUGAGACUAGGCUGGCUGCCUCGGCCUGGCUCCUGGGGGCCGGCUGAGCAUGGUCUCAUGCUCGCCUGCCUCACUCCCAACCUCACCACCAGACUGGGGUUUUCGGAAAACCAAGACACACAAACACACACCACUACAACAACACAAACCAAAGUGCACUGCAAACCGCCCUUUGGCCUCCUUCUUGUAGGUGCCUUGAAAUUUCACUGUUGAGAAGAAUGUGAUUAACUACUUGGUCCUAUUUUCUGUUGUCUGUUUUCAUAUAAAAUGUCUAAGUCCACCUGCCUUGUCCUUUCUUGAAAUAAAUAGAAAGAUUUAACUUUUA
Heterocephalus glaber (naked mole-rat) is the source of this 12074-nucleotide non-coding RNA. The record is from RefSeq and is a predicted model, not a curated record. Lineage: Eukaryota; Metazoa; Chordata; Mammalia; Rodentia; Bathyergidae.